RNAcentral lists this ribosomal RNA (254 nucleotides) under uncultured bacterium. Its description in RNAcentral is "partial 16S ribosomal RNA". It matches the Rfam family "Bacterial small subunit ribosomal RNA", at positions 524 to 776 of the family's 1533-position model. The record is from RNAcentral.
UACAGAGGUCCCAAGCGUUGUUCGGAUUCACUGGGCGUAAAGGGCUCGUAGGCGGCUCAGUAAGUCGGGUGUGAAACCUCCAGGCUCAACCUGGAGACGCCACUCGAUACUGCUGUGGCUAGAGUCCGGUAGGGGAGCAUGGAAUUCCUGGUGUAGCGGUGAAAUGCGCAGAUAUCAGGAGGAACACCAGUGGCGAAGGCGGUGCUCUGGGCCGGAACUGACGCUGAUGAGCGAAAGCGUGGGGAGCGAGCCGG